This 255-nucleotide ribosomal RNA is filed under the name uncultured bacterium. RNAcentral describes it as "partial 16S ribosomal RNA". It matches the Rfam family "Bacterial small subunit ribosomal RNA", at positions 524 to 776 of the family's 1533-position model. The record is from RNAcentral.
UACGGAGGGUGCAAACGUUGUCCGGAAUCACUGGGCGUAAAGCGCAUGUAGGUGGUUUGGUAAGUGAAAGAUUAAAGACCGACGCUUAACGUCGGCACGGUUUUUCAUACUGCCAGACUGGAGUAUGACAGGGGUAAGCGGAACUUUAGGUGUAGGAGUGAAAUCCGUAGAUAUCUAAAGGAACACCAAUGGCGAAGGCAGCUUACUGGGUCAUUACUGACACUGAGAUGGCGAAAAGUGUGGGGAGCAAACGGG